GGAGUAAAAGUCGUAACAAGGUCUCCGUUGGUGAACCAGCGGAGGGAUCAUUACCGAGUUAUCAACUCCCAAACCCCUGUGAACAUACCCAACGUUGCUUCGGCGGGACCGCCCCGGCGCCCUCGGCGUCCCGGAACCAGGCGCCCGCCGGAGGACCCAAACUCUUGUUUAAACCAUAGUGGCAUAUUCUGAGUCUCACAAGAAAAAUGAAUCAAAACUUUCAACAACGGAUCUCUUGGCUCUG
Molecule: unclassified non-coding RNA, 244 nt
Filed under: plant metagenome
Description: partial contains small subunit ribosomal RNA, internal transcribed spacer 1, and 5.8S ribosomal RNA
Rfam family: Eukaryotic small subunit ribosomal RNA (bases 1-53)
Source: RNAcentral